This 251-nucleotide long non-coding RNA is filed under the name Mus spicilegus (steppe mouse). RNAcentral's name for it is "lncRNA (ENSMSIG00000011738.1)". The record is from RNAcentral. Lineage: Eukaryota; Metazoa; Chordata; Mammalia; Rodentia; Muridae.
AUGGCUGAGCAAGAGGCAGAGACCAGAAGUUCAGAAUGGCAGGAAAGGCGCAGAGCAGAGGAGAGGGACAGAGGACCUGUGAGUGGAUGGAUUGAUCACCACAUGCCUCUGUCACACUGCUGCUCACCUCCACACAGUGAAGGCUUCUGUCAGACGGAUGACAAGGCAAAAGGUAAAAACAUUAACCUGAUGGAUUAUUGCAGAUCUGAGAAAUGAGCACACAAACAAAUGGACAACAUUGCUUACAGGCA